UACGGGGGGGGCAAGCGUUGUUCGGAAUUACUGGGCGUAAAGGGCUCGUAGGCGGCCGUUUUAGUCCGACGUGAAAUCCCACGGCUCAACCGUGGAACUGCGUCGGAUACUGAAUGGCUUGAAUCCAAGAGAGGGAUGCGGAAUUCCAGGUGUAGCGGUGAAAUGCGUAGAUAUCUGGAGGAACACCGGUGGCGAAGGCGGCAUCCUGGAUUGGCAUUGACGCUGAGGAGCGAAAGCCAGGGGAGCAAACGGG
Molecule: ribosomal RNA, 253 nt
Filed under: uncultured bacterium
Lineage: Bacteria
Description: partial 16S ribosomal RNA
Rfam family: Bacterial small subunit ribosomal RNA
Source: RNAcentral